GACCAGGUAGUUUAAUUGGUAGAACGUCUGCCUAGAGUUCGGAGGGUCCCGGGUUCGAAUCCCGGUCUGGUCA
Molecule: non-coding RNA, 73 nt
Organism: Mizuhopecten yessoensis (Yesso scallop)
Lineage: Eukaryota; Metazoa; Mollusca; Bivalvia; Pectinida; Pectinidae
Source: the annotation of a RefSeq genome assembly